This 74-nucleotide transfer RNA is filed under the name Perkinsus olseni. RNAcentral's name for it is "tRNA-Thr". It matches the Rfam family "tRNA". Rfam says of the family: Transfer RNA (tRNA) molecules are approximately 80 nucleotides in length. Their secondary structure includes four short double-helical elements and three loops (D, anti-codon, and T loops). The record is from RNAcentral. Lineage: Eukaryota; Perkinsozoa; Perkinsida; Perkinsidae.
CCGGUUUAGCUUAGUGGUAGAGCGUCAGUCUUGUAAACUGAAGGUCGGCGGUUCGAUCCCGCCAUCCGGCUUGA